RNAcentral lists this ribosomal RNA (1483 nucleotides) under uncultured prokaryote. RNAcentral's name for it is "partial 16S ribosomal RNA". It matches the Rfam family "Bacterial small subunit ribosomal RNA". The record is from RNAcentral.
GACGUUCAUCCUGGCUCAGGAUGAACGCUAGCGGCAGGCCUAAUACAUGCAAGUCGAACGGUAAGGUCUCUUCGGAGAUACACGAGUGGCGCACGGGUGAGUAACGCGUAUGCAACCUACCUUUAACUGGAGGAUAGCCCCGAGAAAUCGGGAUUAAUACUUCAUAAUAAUAUAAAACGACAUCGUUUAAUAUUUAAAGCUCCGGCGGUUAAAGAUGGGCAUGCGUGACAUUAGAUAGUUGGUGAGGUAACGGCUCACCAAGUCCACGAUGUCUAGGGGUUCUGAGAGGAUUAUCCCCCACACUGGUACUGAGACACGGACCAGACUCCUACGGGAGGCAGCAGUAAGGAAUAUUGGUCAAUGGACGCAAGUCUGAACCAGCCAUGCCGCGUGCAGGAUGACAGCCCUAUGGGUCGUAAACUGCUUUUAUAUGGGAAGAAACUCCACUAUGUAUAGUGGACUGACGGUACCAUACGAAUAAGGAUCGGCUAACUCCGUGCCAGCAGCCGCGGUAAUACGGAGGAUCCAAGCGUUAUCCGGAUUUAUUGGGUUUAAAGGGUGCGCAGGCGGACUAAUAAGUCAGUGGUGAAAUCCUACAGCUCAACUGUAGAACUGCCAUUGAUACUGGAAACCUUGAGUGUGAUUGAAGUGGGCGGAAUGUGUCAUGUAGCGGUGAAAUGCAUAGAUAUGACACAGAACACCGAUUGCGAAGGCAGCUCACUAAGUCACAACUGACGCUGAGGGACGAAAGCGUGGGUAGCGAACAGGAUUAGAUACCCUGGUAGUCCACGCUGUAAACGAUCAUCACUCGCUGUUGGCGAUACACAGUCAGCGGCCAAGCGAAAGCGUUAAGUGAUGCACCUGGGGAGUACGGUCGCAAGAUUGAAACUCAAAGGAAUUGACGGGGGCCCGCACAAGCGGUGGAGCAUGUGGUUUAAUUCGAUGAUACGCGAGGAACCUUACCUGGGCUUAAAUGUAGAGCGACCGCUGCCGAAAGGUGGCUUUCCUUCGGGACGAACUACAAGGUGCUGCAUGGUUGUCGUCAGCUCGUGCCGUGAGGUGUCGGGUUAAGUCCCAUAACGAGCGCAACCCCUAUCGUUAGUUGCUAGCAGGUAAUGCUGAGGACUCUAACGAGACUGCCGGUGUAAACCGCGAGGAAGGUGGGGAUGACGUCAAAUCAGCACGGCCCUUAUGUCCAGGGCGACACACGUGUUACAAUGGCCAGUACAAAGAGCAGCUACAUGGUGACAUGAUGCUAAUCUCCAAAACUGGUCUCAGUUCGGAUUGAAGUCUGCAACUCGACUUCAUGAAGUUGGAUUCGCUAGUAAUCGCGCAUCAGCCAUGGCGCGGUGAAUACGUUCCCGGGCCUUGUACACACCGCCCGUCAAGCCAUGGAAGCUGGGGGUACCUGAAGUCCGUAACCGCAAGGAGCGGCCUAGGGUAAAACUGGUGACUGGGGCUAAGUCGUAACAAGGUAGCCGUA